RNA transcript from Papilio xuthus (Asian swallowtail), 1890 nucleotides. It is a transcript of the gene named protein phosphatase inhibitor 2-like, with no coding region annotated. NCBI's taxonomy places the organism in Eukaryota, Metazoa, Arthropoda, Insecta, Lepidoptera, Papilionidae. The transcript is spliced from 3 exons. The record is from RefSeq and is marked provisional.
UAGCAACAUUUGUGCAUAUGUCAGAAAAUGGUAAGAAUUGCCGGAUUUGUCAUCUGCUGAAAAAUAAAAUAAAUCGUCUUAUACCGGAAUUUUUCAUCUCAAGUUUAUAAGAUGCAACUGUAAACCUUUCGCUAUGGCACAGAAUUUACAGAAAAAGCCCUCAAAGGGCAUAUUAAAGACCUCAAGAAGUGUCGACGGGCAAGACGGAACACCUUCUACGAGUAAGAGACCAAAAGAGCAGAGGUUUGACGAAAUGAACAUUAUGGAGACGUUUCAUCCUGCCGACAAAGAUUACGGACAUAUGAAAGUGGACGAGCCUAAAACUCCUUUCUCAGAAGCGAUAGAUGGCGACUUAGAGCCGGCAGACGAAUUAGACGCAAACAUAUUGGCGGCAAAGCUCGCGGCGAGCAUGAACAAGCCGCCCAAGUGCGUGGAGCCCUGCGACAGCGAUGAGGAUAUGGAUGAGCCCGAGGAAGUGCGACAGCGGCGCCUCGAGUUUGAAAAGAAACGGAAAAUGCACUACAAUGAAUUUCAGGCAUUACAGCUGGCGCGGAAGCUGAUGGCGCAGGAGGAGGAGGAGGAAGAGGAAGAGAAGGAGACGCGCUCCGCCACCUGACUGCAGCCCCUCAGCGCUGCCUCUCGCUGUACAUAACACGGACCAUCUCAAGCUGGAUUUCGUCAAACAUUAGUUCCAGCUUCCGCAGACAAUAUGUCACAUAUAAGUUGGUACUUAUGCCAUAGGCGUUGUGUUCCUCAACUCGGCUGUAAGAAAAUGUAUGUGCGUGCGUUAGAUUAGUUUAUAUGCGACGGAGACUUAUCCGUGAUUUAUAUGAUAAAUUUGCAUUUUUAUUUCUACAAGUGUUCGCGUGACGAACGAUCGUUCGCCGAAUAUUUAAUGCGACGCUUACUGUAAUGUUAAGGAAAUUAUUUACAAUCAAGAUGUGCACGACAUUCUUUUGUAUUUACAAUUUAUUAGUUCGUAACGCUACUUUGACGUAACUUCGUCAUAAAACAAAAUGCAUUAGAGCUUGUUCAUGUAUAACUCGCGCUGUGCCGCUAUUUAGAUGUCACUAACUCAUACAACAAAAUGUUUUAUGAUUUUUUUAGACCGCGUUCGCGCCCGUGACUUACGUAUGAACAAGCACUAAUGCAUUAUUCUUGCAUCAUUUAGGUAAACAUAAUUCACAUAGAUUUAUCAAUUUGUUAAUACUUUCAGUACGCAAUAGCGCUUCCAAAUUUAAAUAAGAUUUUUAUAAAGUGUAUUAUUAUUAUAGAGGCCAGGGUAAUCGAUGCUACUCGAUAAAAUGCUUAACUUAUACGAACUUAUAAGACCGACAGGGCAGAUAAAAGUCGACUAACUUACAUAGACCUCUCUGAAGAUGAAACUACGAUAUGGAUAAGGUUGUGAGAGCUUCGUACAAGAACCAGUUUUAUUGCGAUUCUUAGGCUUUGUUCACAACAAAGUUAUUAUCAGUCAGUCACAGUGAGCCGCGACUUUGUCAGGGCAAAGACGAAGUCGCAGAUUCUUGGGCUCACAAUCGACUUCAUAGAAGGAUAAGGCGGCGACUGACAAUAUAUUUCGUAUUAUCGCGUCCUUAUGGAGGUCUUCAUCUUGCAGUGGAAGAAAAGAAAUAUAAAUUUACUCGUGCAUUCGCCCCAAUUGAUUGACUGUAAAAACUAGUCGGUAAUUUGUAAUUUUCGUUUUAUCCAAUAUUAAAACAUAUUUGAUUUGUUUUCUUUUAAAUUCUAGGUCUAUAUCUAUAUACAUCUACAUGUAUGUUUUAAAAUUAAGAUGCAAGAACUUCGCAAGGAUUUAUAGAAAACUUAUUAACUACGCAAUGCACUACAAAUUAAUUCCUAAGCAUAGAAUCGAAUAGGACAUCAGCUGAU